RNAcentral lists this ribosomal RNA (429 nucleotides) under Actinomycetes bacterium. Its description in RNAcentral is "Actinobacteria bacterium partial 16S ribosomal RNA". It matches the Rfam family "Bacterial small subunit ribosomal RNA", at positions 355 to 776 of the family's 1533-position model. Lineage: Bacteria; Bacillati; Actinomycetota; Actinomycetes. The record is from RNAcentral.
UAGGGAAUCUUCCGCAAUGGGCGAAAGCUUGACGGAGCAACGCCGCGUGAGUGAUGAAGGUCUUCGGAUCGUAAAACUCUGUUAUUAGGGAAGAACAAAUGUGUAAGUAACUAUGCACGUCUUGACGGUACCUAAUCAGAAAGCCACGGCUAACUACGUGCCAGCAGCCGCGGUAAUACGUAGGUGGCAAGCGUUAUCCGGCAUUAUUGGGCGUAAAGCGCGCGUAGGCGGUUUUUUAAGUCUGAUGUGAAAGCCCACGGCUCAACCGUGGAGGGUCAUUGGAAACUGGAAAACUUGAGUGCAGAAGAGGAAAGUGGAAUUCCAUGUGUAGCGGUGAAAUGCGCAGAGAUAUGGAGGAACACCAGUGGCGAAGGCGACUUUCUGGUCUGUAACUGACGCUGAUGUGCGAAAGCGUGGGGAUCAAACAGG